GGAGUGGUAGUUCAGCUGGUUAGAACGCCUGCCUGUCACGCAGGAGGUCGAGGGUUCGAGUCCCUUCCAUUCCG
This 74-nucleotide transfer RNA is filed under the name candidate division SR1 bacterium RAAC1_SR1_1. It matches the Rfam family "tRNA". From Rfam's summary of the family: Transfer RNA (tRNA) molecules are approximately 80 nucleotides in length. Their secondary structure includes four short double-helical elements and three loops (D, anti-codon, and T loops). The record is from Rfam by way of RNAcentral. Lineage: Bacteria; Candidatus Absconditibacteriota.